CUCUGUCAUCAUCACAGCACUUGACAAGCUAAAUAAACUUCAAAUAAAUAAAGGAUGCACGUUUAAAACUGAGUGAAUUGCAGACAAUCAAUUAAAAGGAGGGACUGGAAGUAACCAGAUCUUGGGAGAACACCUGCAAGUUUCAGCCAUAUGCCAAGGGUUGCCAGAAGACAGACAGAAUCAGCAGUUCCAAGUCCUUCCCACCUCUCAGCUGUGAAUAGAAGUGAUAACCCUUCCCACUAAGAAAUGCAAAGAAGCACACGUGCCCCAUAAUCUGAAGACUUAUGGAAACACUGUGAGAUAGAGAUCCCUGAAGAGCCCCCCACAUAAAGAACUGUAGAGCUGCACUGACCAGUAGGAUGCUCCAUUUUAAAUUGCCUGGAUCAAGAAUGCAGUAGCAGUUAUAUCACUGAUGGGCAGUGAUCCAUCUGCCAGCACAUAUUUUUAUUUCAGUUGACAUUAAAUAAUAUGUCUCUAACAAAUGCUUUAUAUAAAGGGAACAACUCUGAAGUUGGAGGAUUCGCUUCAUAAUGCGUGCAUAUAAAAGACAUUUCAUCAAGAGAUGAAGAAUGCUAAAAAUAUUAAGGUAUCAUUGCAACCUUUUGACAUUUUGAUGAAAUCGAAUCAUCCAAAAACUAUAAUCAGUGCUGCAGAUAAAGAAAGCCUAAAAUUUGUUUCUAGCAAGCCAACUAUUACUGUUUUGUUUUUUUUUUUUUCAAUUAAGUAGUGGACUGUGUUUAAUCAUGAGAUAUAGUCGUGUUAUAUUCCAUGUUCUGGGUUAUGUGCAACUUUAUUUGUGAAGGUGUGUUUUGUACCAAAGGCUCUCAUACAUAGAUUAGCCCAUUUACAUAUAAAUAAGUGAAGUCUACACUGUGCCCAAAUGAAUGGUAUUAAAGACAGACUUGCCUAAAAGAAAUGUGCCUUGCUUGAUUAAACAUUCUUUUAUUUUUUAAUUCAAAAUGAUAAAUUUGCAAAUUAGCCUUAUAGGUUUUAGCUGAG
RNAcentral lists this long non-coding RNA (999 nucleotides) under Pan troglodytes (chimpanzee). RNAcentral's name for it is "long non-coding RNA NONPTRT000444". Lineage: Eukaryota; Metazoa; Chordata; Mammalia; Primates; Hominidae. The record is from RNAcentral.